This 537-nucleotide ribosomal RNA is filed under the name uncultured bacterium. RNAcentral's name for it is "bacterial SSU rRNA". It matches the Rfam family "Bacterial small subunit ribosomal RNA", at positions 9 to 526 of the family's 1533-position model. The record is from RNAcentral.
GAGUUUGAUCAUGGCUCAGAAUCAACGCUGGCGGCGUGCCUAACACAGCAAGUCGAGCGCGAAAAGGGGCUUCGGCCCCCGAGUAGAGCGGCGCACGGGUGAGUAACGCGUGGGUAAUCAACCUUCGAGUGGGGAAUAACAGCGGGAAACUGCUGCUAAUACCGCAUGACAUCCACGGAUCUCGGUUCGUGGAUCAAAGCUGGGGAACUUCGGUCCUGGCGCUUGAAGACGAGCCCGCGUCCGAUUAGCUAGUUGGUGGGGUAAUGGCUCACCAAGGCGACGAUCGGUAGCCGGCCUGAGAGGGCGGACGGCCACACUGGGACUGAGACGCGGCCCAGACUCCUACGGGAGGCAGCAGUGGGGAAUUUUUCGCAAUGGGGGAAACCCUGACGAAGCAACGCCGCGUGGAGGAUGAAGGCCUUCGGGUCGUAAACUCCUGUCAACGGGGACGAAAGCAGUCGGCUCAAUACGCCGUUCUGUUGACUGUACCUGUGGAGGAAGCUCCGGCUAACUCUGUGCCAGCAGCCGCGGUAAUAC